AGCAGAGUAGCAGAAGGCAGAUCUACUGGCCACUGGCUUAACAGGUUUCUGUUCCCUGACUGACCAGAGCAGGGGCUGCUCCAGGCUAAUGAGAACACCUGACUCCAAUUAACCUGCAAAGAGUCAGGUGAGGCCAUUAAACUAAUGUGACCACCUGACUCUAAGGCCCUCUGAUACUAUAAAAGGGCUCACUCCAGUCUGGCAGAGGAGAGCCAGGGGAGAGGAAGUGCAGUUGAAGGGCUGGUUAAUGAAGACAUCCUCAAGCCAUUGGUAAGGGGGUGUAAGGACUCCAUUCAAUGAUUAGGACCCUAUUGGGCCAGUGCCUAGUGCAAAUAGCACAGUGACAUUCCCUGUCCCACAAAGGUCACAAUCAGGUAUCUAUACAACAGGUAACACCCACCUGAUAGGAUUUACAUUGGUGCCAGACAGCUGGGACACUUAGCUCUCAUAAUGGGCUUUUCCCACCCAAAUAAUGGACUAUAUUCCCACCCCAUCCCUCCCGGAUGCCACAGACUCUGAGGGGCCAAUGGCCACCCAUUGUGAGUUAUCAAAGCAUGUAACGACAUGCAUGAUAUGCUCAUGUGACUCUGGAUUCCAUCUUGGGCUAGUAACUUUCCACAAACAGAGGCUGUGGGCUUUGUCUGGGACAUUACAAUUCCAUGUACAUGGCAGAGGAUGUAAAAGGAUCUCAACAUUUUCAUUUUGUCAUUUCCUGCUUCAUUUCUCUGGACUGGAUUUCUAUCAAGGAAUCUUUGGACAAGGACUGAUAACCCAUAAUAUGUAUGGGUAAUUCCAGAGAGACUUUUGUAAGAUAGCAGUUUAUUCCAUCACUGCUAUGAUCCUGAUAUGGGAACACUUUGAAUUCCCUUGUAUGUAUCUGAUAUACUAGCCAU
Long non-coding RNA from Dermochelys coriacea (leatherback sea turtle), 893 nucleotides. RefSeq lists it as uncharacterized. Lineage: Eukaryota; Metazoa; Chordata; Testudines; Dermochelyidae. The record is from RefSeq and is a predicted model, not a curated record. The transcript has 3 exons.